Small nuclear RNA from Lycium barbarum (goji berry), 127 nucleotides. The record is from RefSeq and is a predicted model, not a curated record. Lineage: Eukaryota; Viridiplantae; Streptophyta; Magnoliopsida; Solanales; Solanaceae.
GCUCUCUUAGACGGGAGAGAUGAUUGAUAUCUCCCCUGAUAGGAAUAGGAACAGUUUUCCGGCUUUGCCUAUUAUCAGACACAUCCAGCUAAGCCUACCCACUCGGUGGAUUCUUACCCAAUUUUUU